UGGGUGAUCUGCCCUGCACUUCGGGAUAAGCCUGGGAAACUGGGUCUAAUACCGGAUAUGACCUUUUACUGCAUGGUUUUUGGUUGAAAGUUUUUUCCGGUGCAGGAUGGGCCCGCGGCCUAUCAGCUUGUUGGUGGGGUAAUGGCCUACCAAGGCGACGACGGGUAGCCGACCUGAGAGGGUGAUCGGCCACACUGGGACUGAGACACGGCCCAGACUCCUACGGGAGCAG
Molecule: ribosomal RNA, 232 nt
Filed under: uncultured bacterium
Lineage: Bacteria
Description: partial 16S ribosomal RNA
Rfam family: Bacterial small subunit ribosomal RNA
Source: RNAcentral